UAUCAUUUCCGGCGACAAUCCAGCCGGCGACGAUCGAACUGUCGCCGGUCGCCUUCUCUGAGAUGAGGGACUCAGAAAAUUUUUGUUUGAUUCAGUGGACGUAAUUUUACAUUCUCAUAAUCUCAUCCUUCCUGUUUUGGGUUGCUUGCGAACGCAGAAGAAGGAAGCAAAUUACACGUUAUUCGACGUUGAAGAAAAGAACAGCUCAAAAAAUAUGUCUUUUACGCGAUCUCUAUCUUUUCUCUUUUAAAUUCUCUAUCAAAGGAUCAAAUGGAAAAAGGGAAUUGCAGCUGAAUAUUCGAUAAACAUUCCAAGUCUGAUACAGAAGCAAAGUAGUAUUGUAUCAUUCUUUACAGGGAAGCCCAGUUUGGAAUGUCCCCAAAAUUGGCUUUUCUGGGUUCAUUCUAGAAUCCUUCAUAUAUGCAUGUGCCUAAUUUAUUGUUUAAAAGUUUUUAUCUUCGCAUUUGAUUUUUGUAUCUGGAAACAUACUUGUUCUUUUUCUUGAUUUAAUUAGGAGGAUUCAGAAUUCCAGAUUAUAGCUUCACCCCUUCUGCCUCUUUUGCUGGGGUGGCUUCAUAAUUGCAUUUUUUCCAUAUUAUUAUUGCUUGUAUUACAUUCUAAUCCGUUUGUUUUGGGUAAAAUUUUCUUGUUUUUUAGGAGAAAGGAUAAGUUAGCUCAGAAUUUCAGAUUUUAGCUUCAAUCUUUCUGGCUCUUCUGUUGGGUGGCUUCUCAUAAUUGCAAUUUCCAUAUUAUUAUUGCUUGUAUUAUAUUCUAAUAAUUCAUUUUUCUUUGGGGGAUAAAUUUUCUGUUUGAGUAACGCGAAGCACUAUUCGAGCGGUAAAUCCUAUCUUGUGAACCUGUCAAAGAACCAUAAGGAGUUAAAUCGGCCUAGAUUGUCCAUAAGUGGACUGACUCAAACCAAGACGGCCAACAAGUUGCUCCUGCUGGGAGUCGAACUUGAAAUCUUAUGAUUACUAAACUAAUAGCCUGACCAACUUGGUUGUUGCUGUCGAGGGAUAAAUUUUCUUGUUUUUAGGAGAAAGGGAUAUAUUUGGCUAUUUUUCUGGGUCAAAAUUGAGUAUUUCUCCACAAAUUUGGACCUAUUCUUGUAGGGUUUUGGUCAAGCUGGAUAUACCUUUAACUUCAACAUCUGAUUGUUGAAAAAAAAAAAAACAAAAACUAAGAAAGUGAGGGGAAAUGAAGAAUUUGAUAAUAGUAAAUGGUUUUGCAGCACAACUUCUAUAUUGAUUUUCUUGAAUGUUUUACAUGAGGAUGUUAUAAGCUAUAACCAAAUCUAAUAGACCAAAGGGCCCUUUUAUCAUUAUAUUCUUAUCAUUGACACUAUCUGUGCAAUUUGGUUGUUAUGUUUUCUAGUUAGUAGUUUUGUAAAACAAGAACAAAAUUUAUCCAUCGAACCCGUGCUGUGUCAGGCUGCAGAUAUAUACUUUAUGCUCGUGUUUUCUGUAUGCAUACCUAACAUAAGAUUCUGCGUUCUAUUUAGGAUCCAAAUAUUCUUAUGGUUUAGAUAGAAUGGCUGAAGCAUUCGCCCCGCUUUCAUGGUGGCUGCGGAGUGGGAAACAUCGAGAACUUAGAAAAGCUCCCAAAGGGUCCUCCAUAAAUACAUUGCCCGAAAUGGAGGUGUUGGAAGUGGAUAAGAUGAAACAUGGGCAAAACAUAGCCUCCAGUUCUAGGAGGGGGGUUAAACGCAAAUGGGAAAGGCGGGAGGAGAGGAAGAUUGACAAAGAGCAUGACAUUGUUCUUGUGCCAUCGGAUGGUGGUUGUGUAUCAGGCUCCGAGUCUGAUGACACUGAUUGGUCGAUUGGAUGGGUGGAGCCUCAUGGCUCGGGGUUCAAUAGUGACGGUGAUUCGGAUGAUAGCUUCGCUGUGCUGGUUCCUUGCUAUGGACGCGGUUGCUUGAGCUUCGAGGAUGAUUCAAAAGAUAAGGUUCUCGGGACGAUUGGAAACAUCACAGAUAUAUAUGCAGCAGGGAACAAGAAGUAUAUGGAGCAAUGGCUAUCUUCCCUCCGGAAUAUCUGACAAUAUCAAGCAUUCGGUACAAACUUGAUGGACCAAACAGCAGAGGAUCAAGAUUAUGGUGUGAAGAAAUGGCCUCUGGCGCGCUGUUCUUGAACGAAGGGCUUGCAAAUCUUCUAGAGGGAGGAGAAGAGAAAGUGAAGAUGGGAGAAAAGAAACAAUAAAGGCAGCCAAAAAACAUGGUUGUGUUGUUGUUUGGUUGGUUGUUACAUCCUUAAAAAAUGCAAAUAUUGCUUUUGAUGUGUGUAAAUAUGGUCAGGCAGAGAUCACUUGACCUGAUUGUUGUAAAUGGAUCAUUAUGGCUCAUCAUAAAACAUGACUGAUUCAGUUCUGAAUUCUGAUGUCAAAACUGGCAAUUACUCCCUGAGAAUGUAUAAUAUGAAUGACAAAUGAAUAUA
Ipomoea nil (Japanese morning glory) is the source of this 2432-nucleotide RNA transcript. RefSeq lists it as uncharacterized. The transcript is spliced from 4 exons. The record is from RefSeq and is a predicted model, not a curated record. Lineage: Eukaryota; Viridiplantae; Streptophyta; Magnoliopsida; Solanales; Convolvulaceae.